RNAcentral lists this ribosomal RNA (439 nucleotides) under uncultured bacterium. RNAcentral describes it as "partial 16S ribosomal RNA". It matches the Rfam family "Bacterial small subunit ribosomal RNA", at positions 338 to 795 of the family's 1533-position model. The record is from RNAcentral.
CCUACGGGUGGCAGCAGUGGGGGAUAUUGCACAAUGGGGGGAACCCUGAUGCAGCGACGCCGCGUGGGUGAAGAAGCGCCUCGGCGCGUAAAGCCCUGUCAGCAGGGAAGAAAAUGACGGUACCUGAAGACGAAUCCCCGUCUAACUACGGCCAAGCAGCCGCGGUGAUACGUAGGGGGCAAGCGUCAUCCGGAUUUAUGGGGGGAAAAGGGGGGGUAGGCGGGGAGGAAGGUUGUGGGUCAACACUACCGGGUCAACUGGGAGUCGCACUCAAAACUGCAGCUCUUGAGUGAAGGAGAGGCAGGCGGAAUUCCUGGUGUAGCGGUGAAAUGCGUAGAUAUUAGGAGGAACACCAGUGGCGAAGGCGGCCUGCUGGGCUUUUACUGACGCUGAGGCUCGAAAGUGUGGGGAGCAAACAGGAUUAGAUACCCUUGUAGUC